AGUGAACGCUGGCGGCGUGCCUAAUACAUGCAAGUCGAACGGAGAUUAAGUAGCUUGCUAUUUAAUCUUAGUGGCGCACGGGUGAGUAAUAUAUAGCUAACUUGCCCAUUACUAAGGGACAACAGUUGGAAACGACUGCUAAUACCUUAUACUCCGUAUCUAUAUAAGUAGAUACGGGAAAGUUUUUCGGUAAUGGAUAGGGCUAUAUCGUAUCAGCUAGUUGGUAAGGUAAUGGCUUACCAAGGCUAUGACGCGUAACUGGUCUGAGAGGAUGAUCAGUCACACUGGAACUGAGACACGGUCCAGACUCCUACGGGAGGCAGCAGUAGGGAAUAUUGCUCAAUGGGGGAAACCCUGAAGCAGCAACGCCGCGUGGAGGAUGACACUUUUCGGAGCGGAAACUCCUUUUCUUGGGAAAGAAUUAUGACGGUACCCAAGGAAUAAGCACCGGCUAACUCCGUG
RNAcentral lists this ribosomal RNA (462 nucleotides) under uncultured bacterium. RNAcentral's name for it is "partial 16S ribosomal RNA". It matches the Rfam family "Bacterial small subunit ribosomal RNA", at positions 29 to 507 of the family's 1533-position model. The record is from RNAcentral.